Molecule: ribosomal RNA, 713 nt
Filed under: Escherichia coli
Lineage: Bacteria; Pseudomonadati; Pseudomonadota; Gammaproteobacteria; Enterobacterales; Enterobacteriaceae
Description: partial 23S ribosomal RNA
Rfam family: Bacterial large subunit ribosomal RNA
Source: RNAcentral
GGCGAGGGGAGUGAAAAAGAACCUGAAACCGUGUACGUACAAGCAGUGGGAGCACGCUUAGGCGUGUGACUGCGUACCUUUUGUAUAAUGGGUCAGCGACUUAUAUUCUGUAGCAAGGUUAACCGAAUAGGGGAGCCGAAGGGAAACCGAGUCUUAACUGGGCGUUAAGUUGCAGGGUAUAGACCCGAAACCCGGUGAUCUAGCCAUGGGCAGGUUGAAGGUUGGGUAACACUAACUGGAGGACCGAACCGACUAAUGUUGAAAAAUUAGCGGAUGACUUGUGGCUGGGGGUGAAAGGCCAAUCAAACCGGGAGAUAGCUGGUUCUCCCCGAAAGCUAUUUAGGUAGCGCCUCGUGAAUUCAUCUCCGGGGGUAGAGCACUGUUUCGGCAAGGGGGUCAUCCCGACUUACCAACCCGAUGCAAACUGCGAAUACCGGAGAAUGUUAUCACGGGAGACACACGGCGGGUGCUAACGUCCGUCGUGAAGAGGGAAACAACCCAGACCGCCAGCUAAGGUCCCAAAGUCAUGGUUAAGUGGGAAACGAUGUGGGAAGGCCCAGACAGCCAGGAUGUUGGCUUAGAAGCAGCCAUCAUUUAAAGAAAGCGUAAUAGCUCACUGGUCGAGUCGGCCUGCGCGGAAGAUGUAACGGGGCUAAACCAUGCACCGAAGCUGCGGCAGCGACGCUGAUGCGUUGUUGGGUAGGGGAGCGUUC